GUCCACGCCCUAAACGAUGAUGACUAGUUGUUGGGGGAGUUAAAUCCCUUAGUAACGCAGCUAACGCGUGAAGUCAUCCGCCUGGGGAGGUACGGUCGCAAGAUUAAAACUCAAAGGAAUUGACGGGGGCCCGGCACAAGCGGUGGAUGAUGUGGUUUAAUUCGAUGCAACGCGAAAAACCUUACCUACCCUUGACAUGUCAGGAACGCUGCAGAAAUGCAGCGGUGCCCGAAAGGGAACCUGAACACAGGUGCUGCAUGGCUGUCGU
This 268-nucleotide ribosomal RNA is filed under the name uncultured bacterium. Its description in RNAcentral is "partial 16S ribosomal RNA". It matches the Rfam family "Bacterial small subunit ribosomal RNA", at positions 793 to 1055 of the family's 1533-position model. The record is from RNAcentral.